This 878-nucleotide long non-coding RNA is filed under the name Rattus norvegicus (Norway rat). Its description in RNAcentral is "long non-coding RNA NONRATT013500". Lineage: Eukaryota; Metazoa; Chordata; Mammalia; Rodentia; Muridae. The record is from RNAcentral.
GAGACAGCAGUUUUCCCGACAGAGGCAACUGGCGCUGCCGAUUAAACAUUAGCAAAAUCAUCAGGAAAAGGCAGACCUCAAAGCUCUCCCUGUGCCAGGGAGCUCCGAAAGCACCCGAAGAAGAAGGAGUCAGGUGUCCCCGCGGAUACCGGCUUCCUUCCUCUUUCCAGGCAGCCCGGGCGCAGGCUCCUGAACCUCCCGCCCCCACCCCUGUUCCCAUGGCAAAGGAGAGGAGGAUCCACUUACUGCUCGUGUUCAUGGUGAUGCCUUUGCUCUGGGUCGUUCAUUCAAAACGGAGGCCCGGGUUGCUUUUUAAAUCUUGUGUUCUUCUCCUGGCCUCACUCAUCACCUAAGGGUGAAAAGGCAGAGCAGGGCCAGCUGUGUAUCCUCAGGUGCGCUCUCCCCCUGCUGGCCCCUCUCCGUCUGGGCUGGAGCCGCUGGCCUUUAAGGCGAGUGGACGAACAGGGCAGGUGAACAGAGAGGAGGGGCAGGCGAGGAGGACUCAGGUGCUUCGUCCUCAGCACCUGGGACCCGAACCCCGGGCAGUAGCGAGGCUGGCAGCGCCGGCUCGUGCGCACCCCGCGUUAUCCCAGCCGGCAGGCUGCGGAGCCCGAAGGGGGUGUGGACCACAGGGAGGCAGGGCGGAGGCAGCGCGUCCCCGCCCGGCCUCGGGAGCAGCGACCCGCCCCGGGACCCACCUCUUGUCCAGUUUUGGGAGCCAGAGGCCCCUGCCCCGGCCCCUGCAAGUGGCUCAUGAAUCCCGCUGGUCGUCUGGGGUCUGGGAUGCCAGGGCGAGCCAGGCGAAACCUGAGAGCUCGCCAUCCAUGAUGUGGGCUCGCAGCUUGGCAGCUCGGGGGGCGCGGCCGCUCGCUGCUGCC